This 344-nucleotide unclassified non-coding RNA is filed under the name soil metagenome. RNAcentral describes it as "partial contains 5.8S ribosomal RNA, internal transcribed spacer 2, and large subunit ribosomal RNA". The stretch from base 1 to 120 matches the Rfam family "5.8S ribosomal RNA", at positions 35 to 154 of the family's 154-position model. The record is from RNAcentral.
GAUGAAGAACGCAGCGAAAUGCGAUAAGUAAUGUGAAUUGCAGAAUUCAGUGAAUCAUCGAAUCUUUGAACGCACAUUGCGCCCGCCAGUAUUCUGGCGGGCAUGCCUGUUCGAGCGUCAUUUCAACCCUCAAGCCCCCGGGCUUGGUGUUGGGGAUCGGCGUGCCCUCGAGGCGCGCCGUCCCCUAAAUCUAGUGGCGGUCUCGCUGUAGCUUCCUCUGCGUAGUAGCAACACUCGCACUGGAUCGCAGCGCGGCCACGCCGUUAAACCCCCCACUUCUGAAAGUUUGACCUCGGAUCAGGUAGGAAUACCCGCUGAACUUAAGCAUAUCAAUAAGCGGAGGA